Molecule: transfer RNA, 73 nt
Filed under: Felis catus (domestic cat)
Lineage: Eukaryota; Metazoa; Chordata; Mammalia; Carnivora; Felidae
Also listed under: 1 other name
Rfam family: tRNA
About the family: Transfer RNA (tRNA) molecules are approximately 80 nucleotides in length. Their secondary structure includes four short double-helical elements and three loops (D, anti-codon, and T loops).
Source: Rfam by way of RNAcentral
GCCUAGCUGGCUCAGUCAGUAGAGCUUGUGACUCUUGAUCUCGGGGUUGUGAGUUCAAGCCCCAUGUUGGGCA